UACGAAGGGUGCAAGCGUUAUCCGGAUUCAUUGGGUUUAAAGGGUGCGUAGGCGGAACAAUAAGUCAGCGGUGAAAGCCUGCAGCUUAACUGUAGAAUUGCCGUUGAUACUGUUGUUCUUGAGUACGUUUGACGUGGGCGGAAUGUGCCGUGUAGCGGUGAAAUGCUUAGAUAUGGCACAGAACACCGAUAGUGAAGACAGCUCACGAAGACGAAACUGACGCUGAGGCACGAAAGCGUGGGGAGCGAACAGG
Molecule: ribosomal RNA, 253 nt
Filed under: uncultured bacterium
Lineage: Bacteria
Description: partial 16S ribosomal RNA
Rfam family: Bacterial small subunit ribosomal RNA
Source: RNAcentral